Molecule: long non-coding RNA, 2098 nt
Filed under: Homo sapiens (human)
Lineage: Eukaryota; Metazoa; Chordata; Mammalia; Primates; Hominidae
Description: HSALNT0310025
Source: RNAcentral
CUUCUGCGUCGCUCACGCUGGGAGCUGUAGACCGGAGCUGUUCCUAUUCGGCCAUCUUGGCUCCUCCCAGACUCAGUUUUAUCAACUGGUACAAAAUAAUAUAAUAUUGAAUGCCUACUAGAAGCCAGGAGAAUUCAAGCUCUCAGAAACUAAUACUUUAAGUGGUAGCUUUCCGUGGGGCCUUAACACAAUGAUUGCAUUGAUUCCUGUGGGGAAGAAGAACAGAGAGACGCAAUGCUUGCUGUUUUAAAAGGAAAAAGGUCUGGAAGGGAGGAUAUUCUGCAUACUACUGUCUGGAGAGAGGUGCUCACCAUGCUCACCAGUGGCUUCUUCAGCAGGACUGGUCUUAAGAAGAGAGUAGGCAGCCACCAACAAAUAUGGUUUAAGGGGUUCAUGCAGGGCUCCUGUUUUUCAAUAUGUUUUCUCUUUACUCCUUGAUGUGUAAAAUUUCUUUAAGGUAAGAACAUUCCUCUGAAAUUAAAAAAAAAUACCUUUGUGAAGGUAUAAUGAAUAGAACUGUGAGUUGGGAGUCACGAAACAGAAUUCUUGCUUCUGUUCUGUAUGUACAUCAUUAGCUCUGUGAACUCAGGUAAGUCCCUUAACCUUUCUGUGGCUAGGUCUCCACAUCUGUAAAAUGACUGGGUUCAGAAAUGGUUUCUAUCAUCCUUUGCAGCUCAAAAAUCUGGAUUAUUGAUGGAAAUUCAUGCUAAUUCAUAAAUGACAGGUGUCAUAUUAUUUCUCAGAGUUCAUUGGAUGGGAGGAAGAGAAGUAGACAAAAAGGAAGGUAAGUAUCAAGGCUGGGAGAAUCUGAAAGUGGCCUGGGGACACAAAAAGGAUGAACUAUGCUUCUUUACAAUUUUACCUCUCAUGUGUAUUACCACUCCAUCUGCAGCACUGCAUAGAAUGACAUUAAAUAUAGGAGGAGGCUUGCAGUAGUCUAAUACCAAUAGUUUAAUACUUUCAUUGAAAGACAAACCUUGAUUCUGAUCCUGGUUCUGCCAUUUAUCAGUGACUACAGGAAAUUACUUAAUAGUUUUGAGCCUCAAUUUACACAUCUAUAGAAUGGGGAAGGAAGGAAGGGUUUGUAAGGAUUUAUAAGCUGGUUUUUGCCCUCUGGAUGACAUUGUGUCUCUCUAGUACAGAAGAUCAUGAGCUCUGCUCUCUGCAGGAUAUCAACUUGAGAGACAGAGGGAAUCAUAGACAUGCUAAUACUCUGGCAAUUUCACCAACAGUUAAGCUACAUUAGUACUGCUCAAUACUGCAUCAUUUCAAAGAUAGCAUCCAGUGCUAAUAUCUUUGGAAUCAGCAACAUUUUCCAAAAGUAGUGAUGCAUCAUAGAUCUUAUCAAUAUCACUAAAAAUGGACUCAUAUCUAGGCACAUGGAAAGUUAAAGCUUAAUUAUGGAUCAUUGCUGUGCAGUAAAUAUAGGCUGUGUUCAAGUAGCAAAUAGUCUCAAAUAACUGAAACCAUUAUUUUGAAGAGAAUAGUCUGAACUGAAAUCUACAUUUAUUAUUAAUGUUCCUGAUGUUGUCAGAAAAGCUUAAUAUUUUCUUUUAUUCUAAUUGCUUUUGUUAUGUGUAAAGCUUCAACCAUAGAGAAGAAAACAUCUCAGAAUAUAUCUUCAGUUGAGUAUGAAAAUUCAUCAUUCCAUAAUGUGUUUUUUAUACCUUGGAGAGGACUUUAUGGUUAAAAACUCCUUUUAUAAUUCUUGAUAUUUUAAUUUAAAAGCUCUUUAUAGUCUUUAAUACUUCUUUAGAAAUCAUGAAUACCAAUUCUUCUAGUGAUAUGUUACCUUAACUGACCACCCCAAACCAAGAGAAGUUGAAUUUCAUCUUAACUCUGAGGAUGACAGAUUUUGAAAACCUUAAAACUUCUUGAGCAGUUUGGAUCUAAUAUGUGGACCCCUUAAAUGGAAAAUGCUGUGACUUUUCAGCUCCAGCUAUUAUAGAAUCAUCAGAAUUUAUUCCUACUUUUAUUUCUGCACAGUAGGAAUAGUAUUCAAAUCUCCUGCAGCUCAUUGCUGCAAGAUGAGGGAUUGAAAGUCAGAUUACAUAUGCCUACUAUAAAAAGUCUGUGUGGGAAAAUAUGCAAGUUUCCA